RNAcentral lists this unclassified non-coding RNA (161 nucleotides) under uncultured Cladosporium. RNAcentral describes it as "sequence contains ITS1". Lineage: Eukaryota; Fungi; Ascomycota; Dothideomycetes; Cladosporiales; Cladosporiaceae. The record is from RNAcentral.
CAAGUGACCCCCGGCUCCGGCCGGGGAUGUUCAUAACCCUUUGUUGUCCGACUCUGUUGCCUCCGGGGCGACCCUGCCUUUUCACGGGGCGGGGGCCCCGGGUGGACACAUCAAAACUCUUGCGUAACUUUGCAGUCCGAGUAAAUUUAAUUAAUAAAUUA